Molecule: small nuclear RNA, 312 nt
Filed under: Octodon degus (degu)
Lineage: Eukaryota; Metazoa; Chordata; Mammalia; Rodentia; Octodontidae
Description: 7SK RNA (ENSODEG00000022853.1)
Rfam family: 7SK RNA
About the family: 7SK was discovered as an abundant small nuclear RNA in the mid-70s but a possible function has only recently been suggested. Two independent studies have found that 7SK RNA binds the CDK9/cyclin T complex (known as elongation factor P-TEFb). P-TEFb activates transcription by phosphorylating the C-terminal domain of RNA polymerase II.
Source: RNAcentral
GGAUGUGAGGGCGAUCUGGCUGUGAUAUCUGUCACCCCAUUGAUCGCCAGGGUUGAUUUGGCUGAUCUGGCUGGCUAGGUGGGUGUCCCCUUCCUCCCUCAAUGAUCCAUGUGCUUCCCUCCCUAAGCUGCGCACUCGGUCGAAGAGGAUGAUCACUCCCGAUAGAGGAGGACCAUUCCUUGGUCAAGGGUAUACGAGUAGCUGCACUCCCCUACUAGAAACUCCAAACAAGCUCUCAAGAUUGUUUCCUCAUAUUUGGGAAGUUUUCUGCUAUUACUUCUGCCCAUAUUUUUUUAAAUGUCAUUUGUAUUG